RNAcentral lists this ribosomal RNA (667 nucleotides) under uncultured fungus. RNAcentral's name for it is "eukaryotic LSU rRNA". It matches the Rfam family "Eukaryotic large subunit ribosomal RNA", at positions 24 to 664 of the family's 3401-position model. Lineage: Eukaryota; Fungi. The record is from RNAcentral.
CCCGCUGAACUUAAGCAUAUCAAUAAGCGGAGGAAAAGAAACUAACAAGGAUUCCUCUAGUAACUGCGAGUGAAGCGGGAAAAGCUCAAAUUUAAAAUCUGGUGGUCUUUGGCCAUCCGAGUUGUAAUUUAGAGAAGCGUCUUCCGCGCUGGACCGUGCACAAGUCUCCUGGAACGGAGCGUCGUAGAGGGUGAGAAUCCCGUCUUUGGCACGGACACACCAGGGCUUUUGCGAUGCGCUCUCGAAGAGUCGAGUUGUUUGGGAAUGCAGCUCAAAAUGGGUGGUGAACUCCAUCUAAAGCUAAAUAUUGGCGAGAGACCGAUAGCGAACAAGUACCGUGAGGGAAAGAUGAAAAGCACUUUGGAAAGAGAGUGAAACAGUACGUGAAAUUGUUGAAAGGGAAACGCUUGAAGUCAGUCGCGUCGUCCGAGACUCAGCCUCGCCUCGGCUUGGCGUACUUCUCGGCCCGACGGGUCAGCAUCAAUUUCGCCUCUCGGAUAAUGGCGAGGGAAAAGUGACACCUUUACGGUGUGUUAUAGUCUCUCGUCGCAUGCGAGGGUCGGGAUUGAGGGACUCAGCACGCGCCCUCGGGCGUCGGGGCUUUCGCACACGAUACGUUCUUAGGAUGUUGGCGUAAUGGCUUUAAUCGACCCGUCUUGAAACACGG